UACGUAGGGCGCAAGCGUUGUCCGGAUUUAUUGGGCGUAAAGAGCUCGUAGGCGGUCUGUCGCGUCGGCUGUGAAAACCCGAGGCUCAACCUCGGGCCUGCAGUCGAUACGGGCAGACUAGAGUGUGGUAGGGGAGACUGGAAUUCCUGGUGUAGCGGUGAAAUGCGCAGAUAUCAGGAGGAACACCGGUGGCGAAGGCGGGUCUCUGGGCCGAUACUGACGCUGAGGAGCGAAAGCGUGGGGAGCGAACAGG
RNAcentral lists this ribosomal RNA (253 nucleotides) under uncultured bacterium. RNAcentral describes it as "partial 16S ribosomal RNA". It matches the Rfam family "Bacterial small subunit ribosomal RNA", at positions 524 to 776 of the family's 1533-position model. The record is from RNAcentral.